CCUACGGGUGGCUGCAGUGGGGAAUAUUGGGCAAUGGACGCAAGUCUGACCCAGCAACGCCGCGUGAGGGAAGAAGGCUUUCGGGUUGUAAACUUCUUUUAACGGGGAAGAGCAGAAGACGGUACCCCUUGAAUAAGCCACGGCUAACUACGCGCCAGCAGCCGCGGUAAUACGUAGGGGGCAAGUGUUGUCCGGAUUCACUGGGUGUAAAGGGCGUGCAGCCGGGGAGACAAGUCUGAUGUGAAAUCCACGGGCUCAACCCGUGAACUGCAUUUGAAAUUGUUUCCCUUGAGUGGCGGAGAGGUAAUCGGAAUUCCUAGUGUAGCGGUGAAAUGCGUAGAUAUAAGGAGGAACACCAGUGGCGAAGGCGGAUUACUGGACGAUAACUGACGGUGAGGCGCGAAAGCGUGGGGAGCAAACAGGAUUAGAUACCCGAGUAGUC
Molecule: ribosomal RNA, 442 nt
Filed under: uncultured bacterium
Lineage: Bacteria
Description: partial 16S ribosomal RNA
Rfam family: Bacterial small subunit ribosomal RNA
Source: RNAcentral